GAUGAACGCUGGCGGCGUGCCUAAUACAUGCAAGUCGAGCGAACGGACGAGAAGCUUGCUUCUCUGAUGUUAGCGGCGGACGGGUGAGUAACACGUGGAUAACCUACCUAUAAGACUGGGAUAACUUCGGGAAACCGGAGCUAAUACCGGAUGAUAUUUUGAACCGCAUGGUUCAAAAGUGAAAGACGGUCUUGCUGUCACUUAUAGAUGGAUCCGCGCUGCAUUAGCUAGUUGGUAAGGUAACGGCUUACCAAGGCAACGAUGCAUAGCCGACCUGAGAGGGUGAUCGGCCACACUGGAAAAGAGACACGGUCAAGACUCCUACGGGAGGCAGAAGUAGGGAAUCUUCCGCAAUGGGAGAAAGCCUGACGGAGCAAAGCCGCGUGAGUGAUGAAGGUCUUCGGAUCGUAAAACUCUGUUAUUAGGGAAGAACAUAUGUGUAAGUAACUGUGCACAGCUUGACGGUACCUAAGCAGAAAGCCACGGCUAACUACGUG
Molecule: ribosomal RNA, 497 nt
Filed under: uncultured bacterium
Lineage: Bacteria
Description: partial 16S ribosomal RNA
Rfam family: Bacterial small subunit ribosomal RNA
Source: RNAcentral